Molecule: ribosomal RNA, 1182 nt
Filed under: uncultured bacterium
Lineage: Bacteria
Description: bacterial SSU rRNA
Rfam family: Bacterial small subunit ribosomal RNA
Source: RNAcentral
AGAGUUUGAUCCUGGCUCAGAACGAACGCUGGCGGCGUGGCUAAGACAUGCAAGUCGAACGGACUAUUAAUUUAUUAAUGGUUAGUGGCGAAAGGGUUAGUAAUAGAUAGGUAACGUACCCUGUGCUUCGGGAUAGCGUCGGUUGCUUCGGCAACCUACCGAAAGGGGCGGUAAUACCGAAUAAUAUCGCUUGUCGAUGGACAAGUGAUCAAAGAUUUAUCGGCACAUGAGCGGCCUAUCUCCUAUCAGCUUGUUGGUGAGGUAAAAGCUCGCCAAGGCUAAGACGGGUAGCGGGACUGAGAGGUUGACCCGCAACAUCGGGACUGAGACACUGCCCGGACCUCCACGGAGGGCUGCAGUAACGAAUAUUGCGCAAUGGGCGAAAGCCUGACGCAGCGACGCCGCGUGUAGGAGGAAGUCCUUCGGGAUGUAAACUACUGUCAGGGGUAAGAAAGUCUGCUUCGGCAGAUUGAUCUAACCCAGAGGAAGUCACGGCUAACUUCGUGCCAGCAGCCGCGGUAAGACGAAGGUGGCGAGCGUUGUUCGGUGUUACUGGGCUUAAAGCGUGUGUAGGCGGAAAGGUAAGCGUCUUGUGAAAUACCUCGGCUUAACCGAGGAAUUGCUGGAUGAACUGUCUUUCUUGAGGCAAGUAGAGGUGCACGGGACUCUUGGUGGAGCGGUGGAAUGCGUAGAUAUCAAGAGGAACGCCGAUGGAGAAAUCAGUGCACUGGGCUUGUCCUGACGCUGAGACACGAAAGCGUGGGGAGCGAACGGGAUUAGAUACCCCGGUAGUCCACGCCGUAAACGAUGUCUACUAGAUUGCGGUCGUUCUGACACGGUCGCGAUCGAAGCAAAGUGUUAAGUAGACCGCCUGGGGAGUACGGCCGCAAGGCUAAAACUCAAAGGAUUUGACGGGGCUCACACAAGCGGUGGAGCAUGUGGAUUAAUUCGAAGCACGCGUAGAACCUUACCUGGGUUUGACAUGCUUGGAUGCUAUCUUGGAAACAGGGGAUGCUGCCCUCGGGUGAAACUUGCACAGGUGUUGCACCGCUGUCGUCCAGCCUCUGGUCGGGAGAAGUUCGGGUUAGUUCUUUAUCAAGCGAAACCCUUGUCCGGUUAGAUUAUCACGCGCGGGGUAAGUGCCGGCACUCUCACGGAAUUGCCGGGGUUAAUCCGCAGGAA